UCCUUGUUUCUUGAAUCUUGUACGCAUCUGUCGAAUUUAACCAUUAUAGCUGCUAACAUUCCAAUUGUUUUCAUGUAUAUCUUUGGAAUCAUGAAUUUGACUUCUGAGAAAGUUGAUCUCCCUUUGAAUCUGCAACUCGACCCUUGAAACUUUCAAACUCAGGUGCAUGUAUAUCCUCCUUGCUCUGUCCAGUGUCCUCUAUAUUAUCUGGUGGAUCCCCAGUAAAACUAUUGGUUUUCAUCUUCUGGUGCUUUCUCUCUUAUGAUAGAGCUUUUGUUUUCCCUAAUAUCUACUUGCUGGUCAGGCCUGGUCCUAUUCGCCGUAGCCAAAUCCACUGUCAAAGGCUUCCCUACUGCAGUUGCCAUGGAGAAAAUGGCUUCUCUUGCAAAAAAAUUUGGAGGUAAUAUGCUGGAGUGGAUAACAUCUUCACAUAGUCUUCAAAGAGAAACAAUCUAAUCAGAAUGUAUCUUUCAUCAAUAAGGCCAAUGGUGGAAUUCCCUUUGAUUUCACAUUGUACUGGAAUUACUUCUCUUAAUUUCUUUAUGUCUAUGAUAUCAUAAGAGAAUUUACCCAAAAUUGCAUAUUGUAACUCUUCUUUGAUUAUCAUCUGGUGUAUUUCAUUAGAAUUCCAGGUUAUGUAGGGUUCACCAUCUACAAAAUUAACAGUCUUGGAUGGGAUAUUAAUCUGCUGUGUAUUCUGAACUGCUGUUGGAGGCUUCAAAAGAUUUGCAUAAUUCUGUUCUU
This is a long non-coding RNA of Lycium ferocissimum, 744 nucleotides long. RefSeq lists it as uncharacterized. The transcript has 5 exons. The record is from RefSeq and is a predicted model, not a curated record. NCBI's taxonomy places the organism in Eukaryota, Viridiplantae, Streptophyta, Magnoliopsida, Solanales, Solanaceae.